UGUUGGAAUGACGGACGAAAUUUGUGUAUACAUAUGUAAACAAACGGGUCCGGCUACUUGCGGAAAAGGAGAAUCUAUGUGGCGGAGAACGCAGACGAAAAUCAAACGGAGUUUCAAAGCGAUUGAAAGAAAGUAAUUAAUACGGCUGAAACUUUACCCCGUUGACUUACAACGUCGACUUGGAUUCGUAACGAGGAAUUUAGAUUGAAUGGAACGAAUAUGAAUAUUUAUGUUUUCUAUUAAGUCGCAGUAUGAUGUAUUUGAUUAGUAAGAAAGUUCUGUUAUAAAGGCUGGCGCGACGGAUAUUGAUAGAACGUUAAAUUUCUCGGAUAAUGAACUGUUAUUCGCAAUGAGAUAGAAGAAUGUUCAGCGAAGCAUUGAAAUGAAAUAAGCGAAAUCAAACGACGAAAUCAUGGUAUGUGCAAAUAGAGCGUUUUUGCCAGCGAGAAUUCUUUUCAUAGCUCGUGAAGUUAACCAGUCGAGAGCCGAAACCAUGAAGAAGCGAAUAGCAGCUGUGUGUGCAUAAAGCUUGUUUGAGGGUUCGAGUCACUGUUUGUUCAACUGUUAAUUCAACGUGCCUGCUCUCUGUACACUAUACAGCCACUAUUUACAAGCACUUGGAUACUUUGUGGAAUCUGUUCAAAAACUCCUUAUUGUUAUCAUUGUUAUUCUUCUUAUUGCCAUUGUAACACUUAUAAAUUUUUAGAGGAAUGUUUUCAGUUAAAAUAACACAGAAUAUAUUUUUUUCCAAUUUUAA
Molecule: non-coding RNA, 757 nt
Organism: Megalopta genalis
Lineage: Eukaryota; Metazoa; Arthropoda; Insecta; Hymenoptera; Halictidae
Source: RefSeq, a predicted model, not a curated record